GUUUUAAUAAUUUAAUUAAAAAUUUUGGUCUUGUAAACCAAAAAUAAGGAAUGUAACCUUUUAAAACU
RNAcentral lists this transfer RNA (68 nucleotides) under Eurycotis floridana (Florida woods cockroach). Its description in RNAcentral is "tRNA-Thr". It matches the Rfam family "tRNA". Rfam says of the family: Transfer RNA (tRNA) molecules are approximately 80 nucleotides in length. Their secondary structure includes four short double-helical elements and three loops (D, anti-codon, and T loops). Further hydrogen bonds mediate the characteristic L-shaped molecular structure. tRNAs have two regions of fundamental functional importance: the anti-codon, which is responsible for specific mRNA codon recognition, and the 3' end, to which the tRNAs corresponding amino acid is attached (by aminoacyl-tRNA synthetases). tRNAs cope with the degeneracy of the genetic code in two manners: having more than one tRNA (with a specific anti-codon) for a particular amino acid; and 'wobble' base-pairing, i.e. permitting non-standard base-pairing at the 3rd anti-codon position. The record is from RNAcentral. Lineage: Eukaryota; Metazoa; Arthropoda; Insecta; Blattodea; Blattidae.